RNAcentral lists this ribosomal RNA (473 nucleotides) under uncultured bacterium. Its description in RNAcentral is "SSU rRNA". It matches the Rfam family "Bacterial small subunit ribosomal RNA", at positions 26 to 518 of the family's 1533-position model. The record is from RNAcentral.
AGAGUGAACGCUGGCGGCAGGCCUAACACAUGCAAGUCGAGCGGCAGCGCGGGUAGCAAUACCUGGCGGCGAGCGGCGGACGGGUGAGGAAUACAUCGGAAUCUGCCUUGUUGUGGGGGAUAACGUAGGGAAACUUACGCUAAUACCGCAUAAGACCGUAAGGUGAAAGCGGGGGAUCGAAAGACCUCGCGCGACAAGAUGAGCCGAUGUCGGAUUAGCUAGUUGGUGGGGUAAAGGCCUACCAAGGCGACGAUCCAUAGCUGGUCUGAGAGGAUGAUCAGCCACACUGGGACUGAGACACGGCCCAGACUCCUACGGGAGGCAGCAGUGGGGAAUAUUGGACAAUGGGCGAAAGCCUGAUCCAGCAAUGCCGCGUGAGUGAAGAAGGCCUUAGGGUUGUAAAGCUCUUUUACCCGGGAAGAUAAUGACUGUACCGGGAGAAUAAGCCCGGCUAACUCCGUGCCAGCAGCCGC